UGGGAAUUUUGGACAAUGGGCGCAAGCCUGAUCCAGCCAUGCCGCGUGCGGGAAGAAGGCCUUCGGGUUGUAAACCGCUUUUGUCAGGGAAGAAAUCUUCUGAGUUAAUACCUCGGGAGGAUGACGGUACCUGAAGAAUAAGCACCGGCUAACUACGUGCCAGCAGCCGCGGUAAUACGUAGGGUGCAAGCGUUAAUCGGAAUUACUGGGCGUAAAGCGUGCGCAGGCGGUUUUGUAAGACAGAGGUGAAAUCCCCGGGCUCAACCUGGGAACUGCCUUCGUGACUGCAAGGCUUGAGUGCGGCAGAGGGGGAUGGAAUUCCGCGUGUAGCAGUGAAAUGCGUAGAUAUGCGGAGGAACACCGAUGGCGAAGGCAAAUCCCCUGGGCCUGCACUGACGCUCAUGCACGAAAAGCGUGGGGAGCAAAACAGGAUUAGAUACCCUGGUAGUCCGCGCCCUAAAACGAUGUCAACUGGUUGUUGGGAAGGUUCCUUCUCAGUAACGUAGCUAACGCGUGAAGUUGACCGCCUGGGGAGUACGGCCGCAAGGUUGAAAACUCAAAAUGAAUUGACGGGGUCAUAG
This 581-nucleotide ribosomal RNA is filed under the name uncultured bacterium. Its description in RNAcentral is "partial 16S ribosomal RNA". It matches the Rfam family "Bacterial small subunit ribosomal RNA", at positions 356 to 924 of the family's 1533-position model. The record is from RNAcentral.